UGUGGUGGUGUCUCUCGAUUCGCGUAAGCGUAGAACUCGUGUCUGUGGGUGGGAUCGAACAGCUAGUCAGCUCCGUCGCUGCUACCGGUUCCUGUAGCUCCGCCGCGGGGGGCCUCCCCUCAUGCCUCGGUUCCUGAUGAGACUGGGCGGCGGCCGCGGCGAGAAGCUGCGGCUCCUCGACUGAUUUACCAGGGACAUGGCGCGCCAGUAGCGGCUCAAGCACCGGUGCGACGAGAAGGAGAUGUAGUGGCACCGGUGACAGUAGCCCAUGUUCGUGGUCCGCCUGGGGCGGCCGGGGUUACGACGGCUGCGCCGGACGUCGCCGCAGCCGUAGGAGCCGUAGCGGACCCGCAAGCCGCCGUACUAGAAGCACGAGCAGAUGACGUGACGGCCCCAAAGGCCACCGGUGUAGUUGGGCCGCCACUGCAAGCCCGACAAGGACCGCGCCUUCCACAGCGACCACGCGCGCGACGAGAUGUAGUAGCGCGUCACGGACCCGCGGUAGACGCCGCAGCCCGAGCAGUUCCCCAAGGUCUCGCGGAAGAUGCACGCGAUGCCGCCGCCGCGGUUGCUCGAGUCGAGGCCGAAGAGGUUCCCGUGGCCGGAGCGGCGGCUCUAGUAGCCGUGGAAGCACGAGCAGAUGUGGCAGAAGAGGCGGUGGCUGGGGUUCGCGUCGCGGGCACUGAGGGUGCAGGGCCACGACCGAGGAGACGGUUAGCCGAAGCGCCACAAGUACCACGUGGACCGGUGAUAGGGCUAGUGGCCGUGGCCGUAGUUGGGCCGUUCCUCGAAACCUCGACGGCACUAGAUGUUGUUGCUCUUCCGGACCCUACUGGUGACCUAGAAGACCCACCCCGGUAAGUAGCCCCGGCGGUAGCGGCGGCGGAUGGUGGUCAUGCAGGACUCCCGGUCGCGGUGGUUCGAGCCGAGCAGACGGAGGAAGCCGUCCUUGAUCUAGCCGGCUGACGUCAUACCUACUAGCCUUCGUGCCUGUCAUCUAUAUAGUCACACUAUGACAAGCCCACUACAUAACACGUGCGCAGACAUAAAAGAAUCUGCGCAAACCCACAGAAGUUUUAAAGAGAUGUUAACGUGAUUUAAGCUUCCUGAGCAGUGGUACACAAAAAAAACUUGUUUGUUUCCCAUGCCUUCCUGGAUCUUCAACGUAAUUGAUCCUUCUUCACCUAGUGUAACAAAAUGUUGUCCUGUGAUUUUCUUUUUACUUUGUUGUUUGAUCACGGAUCAAUAAUGUUUCUCCUGGGGGUUUACAGCAACUUUGAGCGUUAACCCAGGGACCGUACACCGUAGUGUUCGGGCUUAGAUCAGAGCAGAAGUGGUCCGUACUGUGGUGUACCACGCUGCUCGGGAGGUACCUUGUUGCGGUACUUGAGGUUCUGCUUCUACAUCACGGAGGUAGACCGAGAACCAACCCUCCUUCUUCGUUCCAGUGGUAAGCAGGUUGUCUAAAUUGCCGCUACUAACCGUAGCUGGUGUCAUCACCCGCGGUUUCAGGUAGGUACCAACGGUAGCCACUACUCGUGUUUGAGGUAGAUCUAGAGGUGGAAAGGGUACGAAGAGGAGGUGCUGGUGCCAUUGGUACGAUCCGCCGGUACGUUCGAAUAAGCAGUUAGCAGCUACUACGUGAGGAACGUACGUAGACCGAGGGUUGAUCGUAUCGGUCCUAACGUCGACAGCGAUCGGUGGCUGGUGACGAGUUAGUGCUGCUACUGCACGAGGUGGUACCGUUUCGCGGUUUGCGGUGUCCUCGUCCUGCCUUGGGUCUGGAUCAUAAAAUAUUCCCAGGAGGUACGAGGACGGGGAGGGAGCCCGUACUUUGUGGCGAUCCCUUCUAAUCCCUAGCCCAGCUCUUAACCGAGAGAGAGAGAGAGAGAGAGAGAGAGAGAGAGCUGAGAGUCGUUCACGCGAACUUUCCUAGUUCUACCUGAAUUUUCCCCACUUAUUCCAAAUGUACUUCUCCCUCUUACGGCCGUCGACCUUAAGACCCGACCUUUUCCUCGUUUAUAAUCUCUGGAUAAGACGUGUCGAGGUCUUCAGGACUUUGUAGUGUCUUGAGUAAAAACCUUAAUUAUUUUUUAUUACCUGCUUCUUUUUAUGGUCUCCCCCGGUGUGGGACCGGUGCUCCCACCCUCCGCGCGGGAUGGGGGGACCCGCGCGGGGGACGGAGCACCCGGGGACCACCGGGAGGCCACGGGUAGAAGACGAUAUACUUCAGAAAGCAGGCUCUUUUUUAGUAUUCGUUCGAAAGCCCUUCUUUGAGGCGGCGGUGCUCCGCCUUGGAACCGCCUUGGUUAGAUCCCGAGGCCGUCUCGACAAGACGGCCCCUUUGAAGGGAGGCCCUCCCCCUUUAGUAGCGGUAGCAGUAGUGGUUGCGAGGAGAGUAACCCUCCCCCGGUUAGAGGUAGUUGUAGAAGUGGUUGUGGUAGAGGAGAGUUUGGGAUCAAGUAGAGAACAUAGGUUAGAAACAGGGUUUCGGAGUCUAACCAUGAACACCCAAUGAUCAUCACAACUAAUGAGGAACAUCAACUACGAUCAACCAAAUAAACCACCUUCUAAUAUACAAGUCUAGGUAAUACGUAUAAUUAUGG
This 2606-nucleotide ribosomal RNA is filed under the name Triticum aestivum (bread wheat). Its description in RNAcentral is "partial small subunit ribosomal RNA". The record is from RNAcentral. Lineage: Eukaryota; Viridiplantae; Streptophyta; Magnoliopsida; Poales; Poaceae.